CUCAGAACGAACGCUGGCGGCGUGCUUAACACAUGCAAGUCGGAUGCGAACGCUGGUUUCGGCUGGUAAGUAGCAUGGCAGACGGGUGAGGAACACGUACUUAACCUGACGCGUGAUGGGGGAUAGUCUCUCGAAAGAGGGUUGAAUACCGCAUAGGCUCUUGAGGUGUAAGGCUUCAGGAGGAAAGUUGGCCUCUGCGUGCAAGCUGAUGUCAUGCGAGGGGGGUGCGUCCUAUUAGCUAGCUGGGAGGGUAAUGGCCUACCAGGGCGACGAUGGGUAGCUGGUCUGAGAGGAUGAUCAGUCACACUGGGACUGAGACACGGCCCAGACUCCUACGGGAGGCAGCAGUGGGGAAUUUUGCGCAAUGGGCGCAAAGCCUGACGCAGCAACGCCGCGUGAGUGAAGACGCCUUUCGGGGUGUAAAGCUCUGUCAGUGGGGACGAAGGUGUGGUGAUGAACAGUUGCCAGGCGUGACGGUAACCACGAAGGAAGCCCCGGCUAACUCCGUGCCAGCAGACGCGGUAAAGACGGAGGGGGCGAGCGUUGUUCGGAAAUUACUGGGCGUA
RNAcentral lists this ribosomal RNA (566 nucleotides) under uncultured organism. RNAcentral's name for it is "bacterial SSU rRNA". It matches the Rfam family "Bacterial small subunit ribosomal RNA", at positions 23 to 562 of the family's 1533-position model. The record is from RNAcentral.